UGUACUACUGCAACAGUUUGUCAUCGCAACUCCUCUCAAACCACACAACAGAAUUUCACGAAACCUUUUCAGAUAAUAAGGACAUACUAUGUAGUUGUGCAUAUCGACGGGGAAUUGCGAUUCAAUUUUUUUUCUAGGAGUUAAGCCCCUUUGAACUUAUUUACUUUAAUGUACUACUGCAACAGUUUGUCAUCGCAACUCCUCUCAAACCACACAACAGAAUUUCACGAAACCUUUUCAGAUAAUAAGGACAUACUAUGUAGUUGUG
Molecule: long non-coding RNA, 268 nt
Filed under: Mytilus galloprovincialis (Mediterranean mussel)
Lineage: Eukaryota; Metazoa; Mollusca; Bivalvia; Mytilida; Mytilidae
Source: RNAcentral